UAAGUGAUGAUUCCAGAUGGGAAACUAAAACCCUAUCACUGCUUAGAAAAUGGAUUUACUAAAGCAACCAGGAUUCGCCUCCUUUGACCCUCUCUUGCUAGCCUGAGAUAAAGAGGAGCUGAAGUCUUCCCUUACAGGGGCCCAGGCAAGCCUAAUAGUAGUUGGGGAAGAGGCAUAAAUUAGUAUCCUUGUAGCAGAGGCUUAAAUACCAUAAAUUAAAACAAAGAAACCCUUUGUUUUGGUGCAGGUAGGUGGAAGUGUCCCAUAGAGUAGGCAAAGCAGGCUAUUCAGCCACCGGCCUCUGCUUCAACACCAGCAAGGGGACAGUUGUAUUGGUGACUUCAUCUAACAAUGAAGGUUGUUUCCUAUGAAAGCUUAUGCCUCUCUGAACCGGUUAGUCUCCAAGGUGCUACCCUACUCUACCUUCUGCUUUGUGGCUUCAAUGACACCUGUUCACUAGGAAGCAGCUGAGACCCAAGCAUGGCACAUAAGCCAUUGAGCAGCCAUUGGAGGACAGACUCACUUGCUAUCAAGCUGAGUUUAAUUAGAAUCAGCUGCUUAGCAGGGGGCAAAAGGCUUCAUAGCCUAUUACCCCUCUCAGGAGUCACAUAGUUCUCUUUCAGGAAGAUACAAGCCAUGUAGGGACAUUACAUUUGCAGUGCUAUACGUGCCCUUGUUGUGCCACAAAAAUCAAGCACAGACAUGUACGCCCCUGUAGCCCUACAACAGUAGCGGGACUGCUGGAAAAUACUGCUGGGUAAAACAGGAAACUAGCACUAUGUCUAACGUGUGCACAGUGAUAGAGGUUGAAAUACAAAGAUUGGGCCAGCAGUUGUAGUGUAAAUCAAAAGAAAUUCUAUUGAAGCCAAUGGACUUACUCCAGAUUUACCCUCAGGGUCCUACAACAAGGAAUAAACCCAUUGUCUCCAUGAGCCAAAGGUGCUGAGAACUGCUAUUUCCCUUCCUGCCUGUGCUUUUCUCUGCCUCUAACGCGGCCGAUAAUGGGUAUUAAAGAGCCUGUUCCUGAGCUGGUGUAUAUCAGUGUAGUGCUAGUGAAGCCUAUGGAGGCACACUGAUUCAUAUCAGCAGAAAUUUGGCCCCAGUGUUGAUAUUGUUUUUCUGUCUUCCUAUAAUUCCACAUCCUCUCAUGAAAUAAUGCUGAGCAGCCUUGUCAACACAAUUUCAUAGCCAUGCUAGAGCCUACCUUUUGUGCAGUAUUUCUGAGUAUGUCCACUCCAGAAACAGUUUGGGAAAAUAGAUUGAAAAAAUCCAUCAGAAACAGCGGCACCAGGCUGUUUUCAGUUCAUAUCUGGCUCUUAAUCAUAUGCUGGAGCUCCUGGAAACAUAGCUGGAUAUGCAUGCCCAUGAGUAUUCAUUAAGAAAAUAAAAAAGAACUAAACUUUGUCUGUCCCUACUUAUACUCAGGCAUUGUGCAAAGGCCUAGUAGAUCAUCAUACUUUCCACUUCUUCUGUCUGGGGACCUGGGGAGUCUUAGUGAUUAAUUAAGCCUCACAACAGCCAUAUCCCCAUUUUAGAGAUAGGGAAAUUAAGGCUGAGAAAACUCAUGCCGAAUCCACACCUGCCAACACCCAGCCUUGCAUUUUCACCAUGUUAGCCUUCCUUCCCCUCCAGACGUUGGCAACGAACAGAAGUGCCACCUGGCACCAGUGCAAAAUUUGCCUUUUUUUGAAGUUUCUAAAAUUUCUGCUGGGAAGGAGACAACAAUAUAAUUAUCAUCAACAACAAGCUGGGAUGAAAAGUUAUACCUUGCCUUCUACUCUGGGUAAAUACAUUGUCUCAGUGUACCUGGGUAUGGGUAUCUUAGAGAGUCUGGUUCCAAUUAUCUAGCUCCUAAAGACUCUAGUUGCUCCACACUGAAAAUACAGGAGCUGAAUUCUGAUCAGCUACACCGAAGUCUGGAACAGCCCCAAUGAUGAAACUAAGAUCAACCUCUAGCCCUUAUUGUCUAUUUCUACCAUGCUACAGGAAUUAUACAUAAUACAUUGAAGUAGAUAAGGGGUUCAGGAGAACAAACACAGCCAAAGUCCCCUAAGUAUACAGGUCAUAUUUCCCCAAAAUAGAGACAUCUGCAUCUCCAAAUUUAGAAAUGAUUUUUCCCUUUCCAAAUGGGUAAUAACCCAGGGAGCGCUGUACAUAUUUUUUUUCUAUUUUGAAUUCUGUUAACUGACAAUUUAACCUAAAAUCCUUCGUAUUUUCUACUUGUUCAGCUGUAAAUAGAGACUGACAGUUUAUUUUCAACAUCCUGGUUAAAAAAAAAAAAAAAGAAAAAAAACAUUUGAAAUAAAUACUUAUGGCUCCAUGACAGACUACAGACGUGAAGUCGAUGCUCCAUAGCAAUCUCUUGGAGCUGUCACACUCUGUGAUCGGUCUUUUACAAACACAAACACUGUUGAUUUCUUAUCAAAUGUAAAACCUCCACAGCUCUUUCUUAAAUGGUUACCACUAGCAUGAAAUUGACAUUGUGAAUCACAUGUGACACUGACUUGUCUGCCUUGUAAUUGAUCUGUGCUUAGGAAAGGAGACAGAGCCUGUACAAGCUUCAGUCCCAAUCACUGAGUCUUCAGCACAUACCAAGCUCUCAGCAAUCUGCUCAGGACCCAAGUGAUGGCAAAUUGUUCUAAAUGAUAGAAAACUGUAAGGAGGAGGAAGGGGGGAAAGGAGCUCGAUUCAUCUAAGUUGUGUGUGUAUGUGUGUGUGUG
This is a long non-coding RNA of Gavialis gangeticus (Gharial), 2720 nucleotides long. RefSeq lists it as uncharacterized. NCBI's taxonomy places the organism in Eukaryota, Metazoa, Chordata, Crocodylia, Gavialidae. The transcript is spliced from 3 exons. The record is from RefSeq and is a predicted model, not a curated record.